GAAAAACCUCUACUGAUGAUGCCUGUUGAAGCUGGAAGGUCAAGUUUGGAGAACGUCUUUUGGAGUCAGAUGGAAAACUGGACGGGAUUCAGGGCACAAGGGCAGUUGCAGGUCAUGGAACAGAGGGAGCCGACAGACCAGCGAGAGACUGAGAGGAGUGUGAGCGCCGCAGGGUCAGAGGCCGUAAAUGAAGGUUCACACUGACUAAGGAACACUGAC
Hemibagrus wyckioides is the source of this 219-nucleotide long non-coding RNA. RefSeq lists it as uncharacterized. Lineage: Eukaryota; Metazoa; Chordata; Actinopteri; Siluriformes; Bagridae. The record is from RefSeq and is a predicted model, not a curated record. The transcript is spliced from 3 exons.